CGUCACUACAAGAGAUAUAUUUUAAUGGGUCUAUGACCUCUGAAUGAUUUCUUCUAAUUAAUUCUAACUCGAUUGAGAAGAACGAUUGACAAGUUACUUUCCCAAGGGCCUGGGAUCCCUAGAUCUAAUGCUCCAGAUGAAAAAGGACACAGAUCUCCAGGAACUGAGUGCUUCCUAUUCCAGGCCUGAAACAGGACCCGCGUUUCAAUCCCUGGCGCCAAGUAAUCUCUUCUUUUGAGAUGCUUUGUGUGGUCAGGAACAGCCAGAUCCUUUCCUUGAGAAACCCUUGCUAAAACCACAUGGCCUGAAGAACUAAGGAGAACUUAGCUAUUCAUAGCAUGGGGACCUGAAGAAAGCAUUCAGUUCAUGGGUCAUCGCUGGACAGGACGGUGGCUUUGGGAACCACAGUCUCCCCAAGUCCGUGGAAGAAAAGGCGCAUCCCUGUGCUGCCGAGAGAGAAAGCUGCAGUUCACUGCAGAGAGCGUUUUCUCUUCUUCACUUCAGUUACACCGCUACCCAGUGUUUCCCUGGCUCCUCCAAUGUCCAACAAGAGGCCCAAACCUUAGAUAUAAACACUGGGCAAGUAGUUGGGGACUAAAAAUAAGUUUCAGAUUCAAAACUCUUGUGCUUCUAUGAUGGCAACUCUUUCUCUGAGUGCGUGGGCGUCGCUGCCGUCCUGGUCGUAGGUUGUUGCCUUUCGUCUCCUGGCAGAGGAGUUUUCUAGGGUAUUUUUCAAACUUUCCAGCUUAGCAAAGCACCCAGCUAAAAUUAAAAGGAGAACUAGGCGUCGGUCGGAGGCAGUGUUGCUCUUGGUGGGGGCAGGGGGGGAAGAGAAGGGAGAUUGCUGACACAGCGAAAAUAAGACAAAACGUUUGAAACUUUAGGCCUGUACUUCUCAAAUGCCUCUUUUAGAAAUCGCUUAAGUCGUUAUUAACAUCCACCACCCACCUUCCCUUUUCGGUCCUGACACAGGGUAAUAAUAGAUAAUGUUGACUUAUGUUCCCCGCUGGUCAGAAAUACUAUACUUCUGUGAAAGUCACUUUCAGCCCUGGGCCCUAGUCUGUGUGGGUGCUGAUCAUUGUGAGGAAACAGAAAUAAACCUGUCCUACUGAGCUGCUGGCUGCCAUUCCUCCAAGCAAAUAAGAGAACUAAUGAAAUCUUAAUCUGACAUCGUGUCCUGAACAAAAGCCACACUUUUCCCAAGGAAAUCCUUUUGAUCUAGAAGUUUUUUCCAGGUAAUAUGAAACGACGCAUCCUAGGCGACCCGCCCACGCGUGUUUAGCUAAGCUUGCUUAGCUUCCUUGGCUCGGUGGUUCUAUAAUCUUCACACUUGGUUGCCUGUGAGUCAGUAUUUACAUCAUGGAAAUCAGAUAUUUUUACCAGCUGUAAUUGAAGAUUGAAAUACUUCAGGGACAGGCAAUGGACACACUACCAAUAGUUAGAAGAUAGUCUCCAGGGCUGCGAUGUAGCCUAGCAUGUGUAAGAUCCUAGGUUUGAUUCUCAGCAUCAUACAUGUGCAUAGCUACCUGCACAUGACUGACCAUUAGAAGUGCUGCCCACGGCUUCUUAAACUGUGAGUCACCAUCCUAUAUCAGAUACCUUUUCAGCAAGUAUAUGAUCACUGGACACAGUGGACAUUUGACCUAUGGAGCAUAUUAUGCAUGCACUUUGACUUCAGGAUUCAGCCAUUGGUUCUACAAAUAUUUUUAUUCACGUCCCAAAUGGCUGUUGGGCCUCAUCCUGGACACAUCACUGAGAAAAAGAAGUUACAUAUUGGUGGAGGAAGAUAGCAAAGCAGAAGAUGAACUCAUUUCCUCAUAUAUUUGGAAGUAAUCAAUGAUACAGAACGUAUAGUAAAAAAUUAGAGUUAGGAUAUGACUUGUACACUUGUUUUCAGAAACAUAAAUUUGAAGGAUAUAAAAAUUUUUGUGUAUGUCCAGGGCAAAUGUUUUCUAGGGUGUCUACUUCUGGGAGUUCAGGCAUAUCUGUCUAACUGGUGUAUUGCAAAAAGACUGUGACUUAGAUUUAAAAACUCUGAGAAAGAUAGGACUGAAGAUAUAGCUCAGUAGUAGAUUUCUUUUUUGCCUAACAGAAACAAGACCAUGACUUCUAUUCCUAACAACAAACAAAACAGAAUAAACUAAGCUGCUCGAGAUCUGAGAUCUUUUACAAGAAACAACAACCUGUCACAGGCCACAUGAGACUCUAAAGGGGGGGUAUACAGGUUGGACUUUGUUUAAAUCUGGUUCUAUUCAGCAACAUUUAAUUACCAUAAGGUAUAUCACAGUGGAGAAGACUCACACUUUGCUCAUAAAACUCAGGACAAAUGGACAGUGUCCUUUAGGGUAGACAGAAAAGUCAUAGUGGCCACUCAAUCCCAAGAGUCCAGGAAGCUCAGCUCUUAGCACCUGGCAUUUUCUACUUGCCACAAGCUUCAAACUACUAAGAAUGUCUUCUGGCUGGCCAUCUUGCUUUAUCGUACUCGUGACUUGUGUGCAUGAAUUAUGAAUUUCCAAUGUGUGUCAGCUAUAAUCACUGUAGCUGAACAGUUGUAAAGAGUAUCUCCUCAUUCAUUUUUUUCUUCACUCUGUCUCAUUCUCUGCAGGACUGAGGAUGUUUGGUCUUUGAUGAAAAGUUCUUGCCUUUUUGGGUAGCCAGUGUGCUGGGACAGAGUCUGAUGGGCAGAAGGGAUUCCUGAAAGGUUUUUGGCUAUGAUGCCAAAUCAUAAACUAUAAAUCCACUAAGUCCUGUUUUCCUAUUGGAUAGGCAGUGAAGUGGUAUUAUUUGCAUCUGCAAUGUAAAGGGAAUUGACACAUGUUGCUUCUUUAAUGAAUGUCUUCUCUCAGCCUCUGCUGUUGCCCCCUUCAACAUCUUACGUCAGCAUGAUAAACAAAACAAAGCAAAACAAAACACAACAACAACAUUUAAAAAAGAGUAGGAUAAUCUUGGAUCUUUAGAGAGUGGUUUCUCACAACACUCUGUGUGUACAUUUUUAAGCCAGUUUAUUUGUUAUUCUGUCUAAAAAGGGAUAUGUAAUCAAGGCUGAGUAAAGAGAGUAAAAGUUUCCUCUAAACAAAGCAUCAGUGGACAAAGGCUUAUUCUAUCACCUGCUAGGGUUUCUGAAACUGUAGUUAGUGGAGAGGAUAUUAAAGCCACAUUUCUGCUUUCAACUUUACACAAAUUAUAAGUGGGACCUUAAGUCACUUAAUGGCUUCGAUGUUAACAUUAGUAUCUUAAGUACGAAGAAUACAUUUUGUUUUGUACGUAGCUUUAUGGUGAUUAUUAACAUUAAAAUGUAUCAUGUUUGUCUGCAGGUGCUAUGGUGAUUAUUAACAUUAAAAUGUAUCACAUUUACAUGCAGGUGCUUUGGCAGCCAAGUCAGGAAAAUUGAACUAUUAUUGUGGUAGGACUUAACCAUCGUGGGUCCUUCUGUUAAUAGUAACAUCGAGGGACAAGUUGACGGUUUUCACAAUAUUACCUUUAGAAACACAGGGGACAUAGUAUCUGAACCAUAAUAAUCAAAAUUUAUAGAAAAAUGAACAGUGUCCUAGAAUAUUUUAGUAGAUGCUAAGUAGCAGCUGUGCGGGAGUCUGCUUGUUCUUCCUACAGUGCUUCUCUUAGCUGUACAGUCCCCAGAGAGAAGCAAGAGAGAUGAUGAGGUGGGUAGCUCACAUUUCCCGGAAUGUUCUUUGCAUGUUCUUCGUCUCAACGUAUGAAUCCCUCAGGUUCUGAUUCUAAUCAGAGUACUGCUGUCUUUCUUUCUUUUUAAAGCUUAAUAGAAACCAGCAAAAAUACUACAUAGUUCAUAGAAAAAGGCCUUGAUUCUUCAUAUGCAACUGACCCUCAAAGCAACUUUCAAUGUUUUUUAUUCUACAUUUGAAGAUAAAAAGUGAAUCUACAGAAACUAUUUGUAUUUGAGCAUGCAGCACGGAAAUGGCAGAUAUAGUUACUGUUUUGUUCUUUGUUAACUUGCUCACCGUUGACUAAUAUAAGUGAUCAUUUUGAAACUAGCUAUAGAUGGUACAAAGAUAUUUCUAGGUCCGCAACUGAAGGCACAUGGACACCAUAGCUGUAUAGCUAUGAAUACCAUAUCUAUCUGAGUUGAAGACAAGUGGAGGUUGCUAAAGUCUGUUCACUGAACAACUGGUUAAAGACACAUCAUUGUUUGAUUAUGACAGUACACUUGGAAUUUCUCUGAGCAAUUAAAUGGUGCUGUGUACAAGUGCUAGGUAUGAGGGCCAGUAUAACUCAGGUGCCAGUUCUUUUUCAAUAUACCAAGACCCAGAGAGAGGGUCUUAGAUCUGAGGCACAUCAUGGGAGUAACACAAGACAUAAAAGGAAGCUGAAUGAUGUAUUAAAACAUGUCCUGUUUCCUAGACAAAUUUAGCUCAAAGUCCUUGAGUCCACAUGCGAUGCUGACUAGCCCAGCUUAGGCACGUCCAGUGAUGUUUUGGACAUUUGCCUAAGUAUUCCCGAGGUCCUCAACUUUUCUAGGUGUCAUUAUCAUGGUAGAUGUGACUCGUCUGGAGUUCUUAGGGUUACAGCGCAUCAGAUUCAUCUAUAGAGUUUCAAAGCACAGGUUCCUUGGUCUUCUCCAGAGUUUCUGUUCAGGCUAGGGCUAACAAACAACACGCUCCAGGUGAUACACAUAGUAGAGGUGCAAUAGGUGCACGAUAUCUUGUGGCCUUCCGGAGCCAGCUUAUCUCCACGUAUCCAUUUUAUGAGUAACCCAGUCUAACUGGGUAUGCCAAUAAUCGUGAAUGAACUGCCCAGUCUCCUCUCUUACCCCAUACAACAAUUAAUGAAUUAGUAGUAUAGGAGAACUUAUUUUAAUAUCAGAGUUUGUAGUGGUCAAGCUAGAGUCUAAGUCAAGAUUUGCCAACCACAAUGCUCUUUGCAAAAUGAUGUUGCUUUUCAUGGAGAAAGAAGAAAAAAUAGAAAUGGUGUUCACAAAAUUCUGAGUGAUUACCAGUUGUAAUACAUGUAUUUCUUACUGUAUUAAUACCGUUGAGCUACCUCUUGAGUUUAGAUUCUAACAUUGGGGCCCAAGGGCGAAUUCUAGUCAGUGAAAAUUACCUUAGACAUUGCUGUAUCACUCAUAUGUAUCCCUAAGGACAUGCCCAUGCCAGGAGAGCCACUUAGAGACAAAGACAAGCUGAAGCAAUGUGAGACUUGUUUCUACUCUUAGUCAGGGAAACACGCUCAUGGAGGGGCACAUCUGGAAGGCUGUCAUUAUUACUGUUUGCUGUGUAUAGAUGGUCUAGUGUAAAUCUAGUUUCAGUUAACAUCAGUUAACAUUUACCCUGUAUACUUAAUAUGAUAGGGCCAUUAUUUGUUUAGUUUUUAGUUCUCAGACUAACUGUCAGAGAGAGGUAUUUCCUCCACCACCCUUGGGGUUCACAGAAAGACCAUGUUGUAGAACUUAGAGCACAGGACUACUAAACUGGAGAAUUGCUUCCCUGAUCCCAGUCGACUUGCGUGCCUGUCAUGAUGUGCAUGGCUUGCAAUCUCUGCACUGGCUAAAUAGUGCCUUGAUGCUGGUGAGGUCACCAGCUUCCUUAACCUCCAGUCUGUCCUCCCACCCCAGCCUCACGCCCACUCUCAUGUCCAUCUCCCAUUUUCCCUCUUUCCUUCAAGGCUCCCUACCGCCCACUUUUCCCCCCUGAGCUCCUGCUUGAGCUCAUCAGCAUCUAGGGAUCAUCUAGAGAAUUUGCAUAAUUAAGUCUGUAAGUAAGAAACAAACUCUUACUGUGGAGAGCAUUUAGGACCACGUGACUGUUUUAGUGUAAACACGAUAAACACAUCUUUGUUAAAGUAAAAAUUAGUUCUUUGGCUUUUAAAGUUGUCAGAGCAACUGUUAAAAGUUUUAAAGCUUGAAGGCUGAGGCUAUGAUUCAGGGAUUGGUCCCUAGCUGUGGAGAGGAGGGAGCUGGAUAAAAAGAGUAUUUGUAAAUAUCCAUUUAAAGAAAGGCUCAAGAUGACUGCUUAGUUCACAGCA
Apodemus sylvaticus (European woodmouse) is the source of this 5997-nucleotide long non-coding RNA. RefSeq lists it as uncharacterized. Lineage: Eukaryota; Metazoa; Chordata; Mammalia; Rodentia; Muridae. The transcript has 6 exons. The record is from RefSeq and is a predicted model, not a curated record.